ACCUCUGGUGUACCAGUUGUCGUGCCAACGGCAUAGCUGGGUAGCUAUGUAUGGACGGGAUAAGUGCUGAAAGCAUCUAAGCAUGAAGCCCCCCUCAAGAUGAGAUUUCCCAACUUCGGUUAUAAGAUCCCUCGAAGAUGACGAGGUUAAUAGGUUCGAGGUGGAAGCGUGGUGACACGUGGAGCUGACGAAUACUAAUCGAUCGAAGACUUAAUCAA
This 218-nucleotide ribosomal RNA is filed under the name Staphylococcus epidermidis NIH05005. RNAcentral's name for it is "partial 23S ribosomal RNA". It matches the Rfam family "Bacterial large subunit ribosomal RNA", at positions 2705 to 2925 of the family's 2925-position model. The record is from RNAcentral. Lineage: Bacteria; Bacillati; Bacillota; Bacilli; Caryophanales; Staphylococcaceae.